Molecule: non-coding RNA, 372 nt
Organism: Peromyscus maniculatus bairdii (prairie deer mouse)
Lineage: Eukaryota; Metazoa; Chordata; Mammalia; Rodentia; Cricetidae
Source: the annotation of a RefSeq genome assembly
AUGACACUGUUGGGUCUUCUGUGUCUGGUGACCGCCCUUCCUGGUAUCCUGUCCCAGCUACAGCUUCAGGAGUCAGGACCUGGCCUGGUGAAGCCCUCUCAAUCGCUGUCCCUCACCUGCUCUGUUGCUGGUUACUCCAUCACCAGUGGUUAUUGGUGGAGCUGGAUCAGGCAGUCCCCAGAGAAGAAGCUGGAGUGGAUGGGGUACAUAGGUUAUGAUGGUAGCACCUGCUACAACCCAACCCUGCAGAGCCGCAUCUCCAUCACCAGAGAAACAUCCAAGAACCAGUUCUUCCUGCAGCUGAACUCUGUGACCACUGAGGACACAGCCACCUAUUACUGUGCAAGACACAGUGAGGAGACUUCAGCAUGA